This 25-nucleotide microRNA is filed under the name Canis lupus familiaris (dog). RNAcentral's name for it is "cfa-miR-8796". The record is from miRBase by way of RNAcentral. Lineage: Eukaryota; Metazoa; Chordata; Mammalia; Carnivora; Canidae.
AUUGAGUCUGGAUUCCUGUGUUCUA